Non-coding RNA from Salmo salar (Atlantic salmon), 72 nucleotides. The record is from Rfam. Lineage: Eukaryota; Metazoa; Chordata; Actinopteri; Salmoniformes; Salmonidae.
CCCUGUGUGGCUCAGUUGGUAGAGAGCAUGGUGCUUGCAAAGUCAUGGUUGUGGAUUCGAUUCCCACGGGGA